Molecule: ribosomal RNA, 327 nt
Filed under: uncultured eukaryote
Lineage: Eukaryota
Description: partial 18S ribosomal RNA
Rfam family: Eukaryotic small subunit ribosomal RNA
Source: RNAcentral
CCCUUAGAUGUUCUGGGCCGCACGCGCGUUACACUGACGAAUGCAACGAGCUUAUAACCUUGGCCGAAAGGUCUGGGUAAUCUCCAAAUUUCGUCGUGAUGGGGAUAGAUUAUUGCAAUUAUUAAUCUUCAACGAGGAAUGCCUAGUAAGCGCAAGUCAUCAGCUUGCGUUGAUUACGUCCCUGCCCUUUGUACACACCGCCCGUCGCUCCUACCGAUUGAAUGGUCCGGUGAAGCGUUCGGACCGUGGCCUUUGGACGGUUCGCCGUCUGUUGGCUGCGGGAAGUUCGUUAAACCUUAUCAUUUAGAGGAAGGAGAANUCGUANCA